Molecule: ribosomal RNA, 497 nt
Filed under: uncultured bacterium
Lineage: Bacteria
Description: partial 16S ribosomal RNA
Rfam family: Bacterial small subunit ribosomal RNA
Source: RNAcentral
GAUGAACGCUGGCGGCGUGCCUAAUACAUGCAAGUCGAGCGAACAGACGAGGAGCUUGCUCCUCUGACGUUAGCGGCGGACGGGUGAGUAACACGUGGAUAACCUACCUAUAAGACUGGGAUAACUUCGGGAAACCGGAGCUAAUACCGGAUAAUAUAUUGAACCGCAUGGUUCAAUAGUUAAAGACGUUUUUUCUGUCUCUUAUAGAUGGAUCCAGGCCGCAUUAGAUAGUUGUUAAGGUAACGGCUUACCAAGGCAACGAUGCGUAUCCGACGUGAGAGGGUGAGCGGGCAAAAUGGAACGGAGAAACGGUCAAGACACCGAAGGGAGGCAGCAGUAGGGAAAGUUACGCAAUGGGCGAAAGCAUGACGGAGCAACGCCGCGUGAGUGAUGAAGGUCUUCGGAUCGUAAAACUCUGUUAUUAGGGAAGAACAAAUGUGUAAGUAACUAUGCACGUCUUGACGGUACCUAAUCAGAAAGCCACGGCUAACUACGUG